This 433-nucleotide ribosomal RNA is filed under the name uncultured bacterium. RNAcentral describes it as "partial 16S ribosomal RNA". It matches the Rfam family "Bacterial small subunit ribosomal RNA", at positions 29 to 507 of the family's 1533-position model. The record is from RNAcentral.
AACGAACGCUGGCGGCAUGCCUAACACAUGCAAGUCGAACGAGACUUUCGGGUCUAGUGGCGCACGGGUGCGUAACGCGUGGGAAUCUACCCUCAGGUUCGGAAUAACUCAGAGAAAUUUGAGCUAAUACCGGAUGAUGACGUAAGUCCAAAGAUUUAUCGCCUGAGGAUGAGCCCGCGUAGGAUUAGGUAGUUGGUGAGGUAAAGGCUCACCAAGCCGACGAUCCUUAGCUGGUCUGAGAGGAUGAUCAGCCACACUGGGACUGAGACACGGCCCAGACUCCUACGGGAGGCAGCAGUGGGGAAUAUUGGAAAAUGGGCGAAAGCCUGAUCCAGCAGUGCCGCGUGAGUGAUGAAGGCCUUAGGGUUGUAAAGCUCUUUUACCCGGGAAGAUAAUGACAGUACCGGGAGAAUAAGCUCCGGCUAACUCCGUG